CCGCUGGCCACGCCCCCAGCUCCCACGGCGACGCGCCGGGAAUCGGUGACGGGCGGGGGCCGUGAGGGGACGGGCGAUGUACAGGGACAGCUGAGUGGGGACAGGGGUCCUAAUUACUCUGGAGGAUGGAGCUCCCAAGACCAUUCCCACCUCUGACCAACAACACCUAAACUGUGCUUUGGAGCCAGCUCCAUCUGGGAUGGAUCCAGUUCUUCAGGUUAACAGAUUUUAAUUCUCUGUGAAGGAAACUCCAUGUAUUUUAAGGAAGUGCUAAGCAUCAUGAUGGUUUUUAUGACUACUGGAGGCAUAAUUGGAGUAUCAUGGGAAGCAGAGGGCUGUGUUAUUAGUCAGCACAUGACACCACAUACACAUUCAGUUAUUAGAAAAUAAGCAGCUCAAGAAGGUAAGUAACAAUUGAGACUAUAUUUUUGAGCCUGAAUUGUGCCUAAAAGUGAAAACUUAAUUUUUCAACACUUCUACUAAGACAUAGUUUGCUUACAUACUUUAUCUUUGUGUAUGCUUGUAUUUAUAUGAUUGCUUUUAUAUAUUUUAGCACUGAUUUUCUAGAGAUCACAUCAGUGACUGAGAGUGGAUGAUGCCAGUGCCCGUCCUGGCAGCCCUGGUGCAAGGGGAAUACUGGGGAUGGCAAAAUGGAAACGGUCUUGGUGACACUGAUAUUUUUGGGCAGUCCCAGCUUCCAUGGCACUGAGUCACUGCAGCAGAGCAACCUCUAAGGAGUGUCCUCCUUCCACAUCAGCCAGAGGGAAGGCUCUGCCCCUUCCUCCUGCUCUCCCAGCAGUGUGACAGAGCUCCAGAAAGGACAGCCAGUCCAUUCAGGAGUUAUCUCCUACUGAGGCACUGAUCUGCCAGGCUUACCCCUGCAGUGUUGCACUCCAGCUUAAAGCUGUACAGGUAUUUGGCAGCCUGGAUAUCUGAAAAACCUGAAGGAAAAUGUAAGCUGAGUUUACAGCUGAGCUGGGAAAGGGAAAAAAGGACACUGAUGAAGUCCCUAGGGAGGACAGAAACAGUAAAUGGAAGAUAAAAAGGAAAGAUGAAGCAGGGCCUCUAGUCUGAUUGUGUCCUUUACCUGCUCCAGUGCCACCUUGGGGAGCAGC
RNAcentral lists this long non-coding RNA (1115 nucleotides) under Corvus moneduloides (New Caledonian crow). RNAcentral's name for it is "lncRNA (ENSCMUG00000017031.1)". Lineage: Eukaryota; Metazoa; Chordata; Aves; Passeriformes; Corvidae. The record is from RNAcentral.